CACGGGCACACUUCCCCGGAAACCAAACUCAAGGUUCCGUUUCUUGACUGUGCGGAGUCUCCACGGGCUUUAAGAAGAGCCUACCUUCUGAGAUGCUUAUCUGCAUGCGGAGGUAAAAAGAAAGAAAGAAAGAAGAUCAGAGCACCUCAGCAGGGAGGGCAUCACCCACUUGAAAGGCAGAGGCCCUACAGGUGCCUACAAGGCCCAGCCUUCCCGACUACCUGCCAAACUUCUGCUCACCAGGGUGAUGUCCCGGGAGGCGGCAGCUGCACUCAUGUGCAAACUUGGCUGCCGAAUGGAGCUGCUGCAAUCUAGGGCUCUUGCGAAGGUCCCCACAGCUCUAAGGGAGAGAUCGAGAAGUCAGAAGGGAAGGAAGACAGUUCAAGAGGGCUGAAGAACUGUGCCAGAUGAAAAAGAUGGAAAACACCUAAACCAAAGCAAAGAUAACAACAACAUCCAUCUCUAAGAGUGGGACUUAGGGCUGUGUCCACACCUCCCCCAGCCCAUCAUCCCCAUCCACCCACCCCUCACCGGGCCACCACGAGAAACUGAUCAAUCUGCCGGUCUGUGAGAGGGUUGUCUGGGUCCCAGACCUUCAUCUCCAUCUUCUGUUGGUUCCGAUUAUCAGAUUCCCCUGGGGAAUGAGGCAAGGGCAUCAUCAGGGAGAGGGAUGGGGACCUUCUGUGAGUUUUAUCACUCACAAUAAUACCUCCUAGCUCUUCCUCCCCUGCUUGGAUUCCAUUAGCCACCUCAACUCUCAGACUUCUCUUCCCAACUGUGCUCCUUUUCCCCUUUCAGGUUCCCAAGGCCCCAUUCUAUCUGGGUCACAGCAUGGAGUCAUGCAAACUGUACUGCACAACUCCAAGGGAGCCCACCCUCACAGACUGUGAUGGGAAGGUGCCCCUCAGAGUUACGUAGCUCAGUAACCAGGCACUCUUUUCUGCUGCUUACCCUCUGCCAGGCGAUCUGGGAUCUCAGCUUGGUAUUUGCAACCAACUCUGAUCUCCCCCUGAUCAGCUAAAAGUGUCUUCUGCACGGGGUCAAACACCAAUGAGUAAAAAAAGCAGUCCUGGAGAUGAGGAGAGAGAAGGUACUGGCUCAAGAUAUCUGUCUCAUUCAAGAGGGUCACACUGCAUUUCCCCCUGCAGAAGAGAGGUCAGAAAACCCCAGAUUUCAGGAGACACUUUGCUCCAAAUCAUCACAAGGAACAUAGCUAUCCUUCAUUUUCUACUUGGCUAAUAAUAGUUCGUGGGGCUUUCAAGGACAGCACCUCUUACACCAGUGCCAACAGCGUCCUCUCCGCGGAGCUGCAGCCGGCCCUGAAACCUUGGUGGAAGGGUUAACCUGGCCGGGAGCCAGCCGAGGCGGGAGGGGGCAGGAGAGUCUCAGGCCCCGGCUCAUUGGUGCAUUGUUCCCAACCUCGGGGAGAAGGGAGGUGCGGCAGGCUCCGCCCCUCGCCUGUGUGCUCCGGAAACCCGGUGCUCAGGCAAGGGGGACCACACCCCCCACGCCCCUUCUGAUUGGACAAGGCCAAGGUCAGCCCCUGCUACAUGGGGCUGGAAACCCCAAAGGGACCAGGGAACUUGAUGAGCCCAGCUCCUCGUUAACCCCUUCAUGCCCAGAGCAGCCUGAAAAAGGAAAAUAAUUUAGGAAAGAGGAACAAGAGGAAGGAGCAAGAAAACCAACAAGGAGUGGGGAAAGAAGAAGCUAAGGAAAACUGAAGGAGAUAUCUUUUUUAAAAAGAUGAAAGCUUAUACAGAAGGAAGAUAAGGGAAAAGGGAAAAAAGUAAAAGCGUAGGACGGAGGGGUUAAGGGGAAAGGAAAGAGGAAAAGUGCAAGAAAACUUCCUGCCAUGUUUCUUCCUCUUAGCUUCCUAUUCUCUCCCUCCAGUGUAUUCUCCCCACCUUGUAACCACCAAAUAAGCCUGCUUCUCUGUUCUGCAGUCUUGUAAAUAAAAUCUCUUCCUCUUCACAGUCACCACCCAUUGUCCCAAGUACCAAAACCAUCACCCCAAGGGUUCUGGUUCUCUAAAACUCUUCCUCAUCCCCUAUUAUUUAAAUGUUAUCAUCUCUCUCUUUCUCAGACACAUGCAGAGGGAGAGAGAGAGAGAGAGAGAGAGAGAGAGAGACACACACACACACACACAUGCAAGCACACACGCGCCAUAUUCUGACUUUCCUUAUCAUGGUCUCUCCACCCUGCUUCCUCCCAACGUGUAAAAACAGGCCUCCCUCCACAGACCAGGCUUUUUGCCACCCCCAACUCACACCCUGCCUUGGGCACGAUACCAGGGCAAACACCCGCAGGGACAUGCCCAGGCCUCAGACUAUGGGGAGGGGGAGAAAGGUGGGAGGUAGGGGUGAAGACACUUACUGGCAUUACUAUCAGCCAGGCUGUUGAGGCUACUAGAAAUGUCCCUUCGCCGGAAAAGACAGACAACCUUUGCCUCCACGUUUCCAUUUGCAGUCUAAGGGAGGAAAAAAUGUCAGUGAAGACAUUUGAGAGCAAAAAUGCACAAAGAUGAGACUAACGACAGUGAAUAAGAUUCUAAGUGAUCCUAAGAAGAAAGCCUUGAGAAAUUAUGAAUAAAGAGGCUUUCAUUCAA
This is a long non-coding RNA of Choloepus didactylus (southern two-toed sloth), 2605 nucleotides long. RefSeq lists it as uncharacterized. Lineage: Eukaryota; Metazoa; Chordata; Mammalia; Pilosa; Megalonychidae. The transcript is spliced from 5 exons. The record is from RefSeq and is a predicted model, not a curated record.